UACGGAGGGUGCAAGCGUUAAUCGGAAUUACUGGGCGUAAAGCGCACGCAGGCGGUUUGUUAAGUCAGAUGUGAAAUCCCCGCGCUUAACGUGGGAACUGCAUUUGAAACUGGCAAGCUAGAGUCUUGUAGAGGGGGGUAGAAUUCCAGGUGUAGCGGUGAAAUGCGUAGAGAUCUGGAGGAAUACCGGUGGCGAAGGCGGCCCCCUGGACAAAGACUGACGCUCAGGUGCGAAAGCGUGGGGAGCAAACAGGAUUAGAUACCCUGGUAGU
Molecule: ribosomal RNA, 271 nt
Filed under: uncultured bacterium
Lineage: Bacteria
Description: partial 16S ribosomal RNA
Rfam family: Bacterial small subunit ribosomal RNA
Source: RNAcentral